This is a non-coding RNA of Salmo salar (Atlantic salmon), 1635 nucleotides long. The record is from RefSeq and is a predicted model, not a curated record. NCBI's taxonomy places the organism in Eukaryota, Metazoa, Chordata, Actinopteri, Salmoniformes, Salmonidae.
CUGUGAGGGUGUCAUUGGAUGCCCUGGAUGCCACGUUUUCAAGGUACGAAGAAGACAAACAGGGCAUAGCAUCUAUUUUCCAUAAGACCGUUCAAAGAUGUCAUGAAGCAUUUAGUAUCCCCCACAUACGUCUCCCCCUCAGCUGCAUGUCCAUGACACAGUUAGCCUGGAUGGCUUUGUCAGUACCCUUCCUGGACCUGCCUCUGAUAAGGGCUGCCUGGAGGUGUUCUCAGUCGACUGUGAAAUGUGCUAUACCACUCAUGGUCUGGAGCUGGCUAGAGUGACCUUUGUCAACUCCAGUUUGCAGGUUUUCAGGCAUCAGUGAAGUUAAUGUGAAAGGAACAAGCUCGUCCAUACGAGAUGUUCAGGAGACUCUUCUGAGCUUUGUCAGUGCAGAGACUAUACUGAUUGGCCAACGCUUAGAAAUUGACCUCUGUGCACUUAAGUCCAGGACAAGGCCUAAUCUCAGCCUCAUAAAUAAAACGACGCUCCACAACCUGACAGCAGACUACCCGAUGAGGAUCAUCCAGGAGAGUGGAGGGUCAAACAAACAAGUCUCUGGCAAUGGGAAUAAUACCCAUCACCUGUGUGUCAUUACAUUUUUAAACAGUCAAACUGAUCAUGGUGUAAGCAGGGAAAGAUGUUGCAUGAAUCUUUUAAUGAAGUGUUUCACAAUCCCAACUCUGUCCAUUUACUGCUUACAGUUAAAUGUGUUCUUAGAACACUAGUAAAAGCAGUCGAGACAAUCUGAGAAUUUAUCAUAUUUUGUGUUUUGUAGUAGGCAAAAGUCCUAAACAUGUAUCCACUCAUUUGAGAAUCAUUCCUAAUCCAAGGUUUUCAAAUUUUGUGUGUGUGCGCUGUAGGUUAAUAGUAACUGUGUGUAUGGUAUUGUUCCACUCCCUUCCAGUGGGUGGCCAUGACUCUGCAGAAGAUGCUGCUGCCUGUAUGGAGCUCAUGUAACGAGUACGCUAGGAGUCGGGAAGCAAGUACAGGGAGGGAAUUUAAUAAUAAAUGGAGCAAAACAAGAAACACGAGUACCGUACAGACAUAAAACACAGAAACAGAAUCAAUAACGCCUGGGGAAAGAACCAAAGGGAGUGACAGAUAUAGGGGAGGUAAUCAGGAAGGGGAUGGAGUCCAGGUGAGUCUCAUGAGGCGCAGGUACGCGUAACGAUGGUGGCAGGUGUGCGUAAUAAUGAAUAAACUGGCAACACCGAGUGCCAGAGAGAAGGAGCGGGAGUAGACGUGACAGCUCAUGUUGUGGAAGGUCAAAGAUGGUAAAACUAAACGAUGGUGAUCUGAAUAAAACUGGCAUCGCCCACCUACGUUUUUCAUGAAAUCACAAAUAUUCAUGUUCAAAUGUCACUUAUUUGUAUAAAGGUGAAGUGUUAUUUGUUGGGUCUUUUCUUCGAAUGGCGUGGGUAGGCUUGGAGAGGGAUUGAAAUUAUAAUUUUUAUGUCAAUUGGUGGAAUUCAUUUUUGUUUAACCAUGUUAUGAUCCUCUCACAGUCUCUCUUGUCAAUGUGAAAUUAUUUGGGGAUGCACUCUGAACAUUGGGAAAUAAGAAUAUAUUGAAUGUAAAAGAAAAUAAAUCUGUUAUGGGGUUUUAUUAACAAUAAAUAACCUUGUUAUUGUU